Molecule: ribosomal RNA, 200 nt
Filed under: uncultured bacterium
Lineage: Bacteria
Description: partial 16S ribosomal RNA
Rfam family: Bacterial small subunit ribosomal RNA
Source: RNAcentral
AGAGUUUGAUCCUGGCUCAGGAUGAACGCUGGCGGCGUGCCUAAUACAUGCAAGUCGUGCGGUAACAGGAGGAGCUUGCUCCUUGCUGACGAGCGGCGGACGGCUGAGUAACGCGUAGGAACCUACCCUGAACUGAGGGAUAAGCAUCAGAAAUGGUGUCUAAUACCGCAUGUGCUCUAAGGAGUAAAGCUUCGGCGGUU